RNAcentral lists this long non-coding RNA (1112 nucleotides) under Androctonus crassicauda. Lineage: Eukaryota; Metazoa; Arthropoda; Arachnida; Scorpiones; Buthidae. The record is from RNAcentral.
AGAAUCUCGAUCUAUUUAAUGUCUCAGUCUAUAGAGUACAAACUGUUUAGAAUUUCGAUUUAUUUAGUCUCAGUCUAUAGAGUGUAACUGCUUAGAACCUCGUUAUACUUAAAAUCUCAAUUUACAGAACUUAAUAGCUAUUUAUCGUUUAAAUAAUGGCUUUCAGAUAGAGCCUCGAAUACUCCUACAUAGAGCUUCAAUAUGUGAUAUCUAAUAGUUCUUUACUGUCUAAAUAAUGAAUCUAAAUUAAACUCCGUAUGUGAAGGAAGUAUUUAUUAUCUAAGUAGAGGUCUAAGUUUGCCUGUUUAUCACAUGCCACGAGUCUAAGUUAGGAUCAAAUUGAUCUAUUUAUUGACUACGUCAGUAGUUCUCAACGGGGGCCACCAGUAAAAGCAAAACCAAAGUAAACCAACGAGGUGGGUGAUACAGAGAUAAACGAACCAAAAAAAAAAAAAAAAAAGUUUGAGAACCACCGGAUCUAAGUAACGCUGAUGUAAGUCAGCUCCUGAUACGUUUUGUUUAUUGUUUAAAUCGUGGGUAUAAUCAUCUUUAAAGGUAGGUUCUAAGUCUAUUAUAAGUUAGAUAUAAUUUGAAACUUGAUGAUCUACAAAUUGGACGACUUAUCUACUUAAAGAACCACUCCCAUAAUCAUCUCUAAAUUAUUGUUUCAUUUAAUUUUAUCUAUGAAGUACCACAAAAGAAAAAAAAAUACUUCUUCGCGAUCGCUUUUUUUAACUACCGAGAUUGAUCGAAAAGAUUUUCUGUUCUUGUUGUUUUUUUCUGUAAUUCUGUAACUAAUUGUUCUGUCGUAAUUAAAAUCGAGUAUUUUGUCGUCGAAAUUAAUGUUGGUUUGUAUUUUUGUUUUUCGUUAGAACUCGAACUGCGAUGUUAAAUGAAUGGUAUAUAGGAACAAUUACCGGAUUUUGACGACGAAACGCAGGCUUACCGAAAAUAACAAAUUGAGAAAAAUUAGAUGUUAUAAAGAUAUAUGUGACAUAAUUCGUUUAAAAUUGGAUAUAUUUUCCUAUAAUUGUAUCAAUGCUGACGGAGUUUUCUCUCUCUCUCUCUUUUUUUUACCUUUAACGUUUGAUAUAUUAAAUGUGAAUAAUGUA